RNAcentral lists this ribosomal RNA (536 nucleotides) under Otidea yunnanensis. RNAcentral's name for it is "LSU rRNA". It matches the Rfam family "Eukaryotic large subunit ribosomal RNA", at positions 84 to 630 of the family's 3401-position model. Lineage: Eukaryota; Fungi; Ascomycota; Pezizomycetes; Pezizales; Pyronemataceae. The record is from RNAcentral.
UAACUGCGAGUGAAGCGGCAAAAGCUCAAAUUUGAAAUCUGACGUCUUUGAUGUCCGAGUUGUAAUUUGGAGGGAUAUCUUCGGAGCUGGCGCUUUCCUAAGUUCUUUGGAACCAGACAUCAUAGAGGGUGAGAAUCCCGUGCCUGGAUGGCUGUCCUGCUCCAUGUGAAGUGUCUCCGACGAGUCGAGUUGUUUGGGAAUGCAGCUCAAAAUGGGUGGUAAAUUUCAUCUAAAGCUAAAUAUUGGCGAGAGACCGAUAGCGCACAAGUAGAGUGAUCGAAAGAUGAAAAGCACUUUGAAAAGAGAGUCAAAUAGUACGUGAAAUUGUUGAAAGGGAAGCGCUUGAGACUAGAUUCAGCUGACGGUCAUCAGCCAUGUUUUUAUGUGGUGCACUUGCCGUCGGUUGAGCCAGCAUCGGUUUUGAUGGCGGGAUAAAGGUUUUAGGAAUGUGGCUCUGCCCUCUGGUGGAGUGUUAUAGCCUGAAGCGCAAUGUCGCCUGUCGGGACCGAGGACCGCGCUUAUGCUAGGAUGCUGGC